UGUCCGGAGAGCAGAAGCUGGUGACCGAUCCAUGGAGGAUGCAGCAUUUGAAAUUAAACGAACCUGCUGUCAGUGAAGAGGACGGUCAACCUCAUCUUAGCCAAAGAUGUCACUGCAACUUUGGAUGAAGACACCAAAUAUGAUAGGUCCCCCAUAGUUGGACCAUUGCUGCUCUGUCGGUGUUCGUUUCCCGGAUUUCUGCACAAUUGUUUUAAAGUUGGACUACAGCGGCGUUAUCUGCCCUCAGUGAAGCCGUGUUUGGGGUGUGGCAUCGGCGAGCCCAUUCCGCCUUCCGCGGUGGCGUGGCAUAUCAGAAUCUGUGUGCCUUAGACAAAAGGGCUUGCCCACCAGAGGGCGCCGAGGAUCCUCUUCUGCUCUUUGUUUUUCCCUUAGGUUUG
This is a long non-coding RNA of Cyprinodon tularosa, 398 nucleotides long. RefSeq lists it as uncharacterized. The record is from RefSeq and is a predicted model, not a curated record. NCBI's taxonomy places the organism in Eukaryota, Metazoa, Chordata, Actinopteri, Cyprinodontiformes, Cyprinodontidae. The transcript has 3 exons.